Molecule: ribosomal RNA, 402 nt
Filed under: uncultured bacterium
Lineage: Bacteria
Description: bacterial SSU rRNA
Rfam family: Bacterial small subunit ribosomal RNA
Source: RNAcentral
GGGGAAUAUUGCACAAUGGGCGAAAGCCUGAUGCAGCAACGCCGCGUGAAGGAUGAAGGCCCUUGGGUCGUAAACUUCUGUCCUAUGGGAAGAAAAAAAUGACGGUACCAUUGGAGGAAGCCCCGGCUAACUACGUGCCAGCAGCCGCGGUAAUACGUAGGGGGCAAGCGUUAUCCGGAAUUAUUGGGCGUAAAGCGUACGUAGGUGGUUUUUUAAGCGCAGGGUUUAAGGCAAUAGCUCAACUAUUGUUCGCCCCGUGAACUGAAAGACUUGAGUACAGGAGAGGAAAGCGGAAUUCCUAGUGUAGCGGUGAAAUGCGUAGAUAUUAGGAGGAACACCAGUGGCGAAGGCGGCUUUCUGGACUGAAACUGACACUGAGGUACGAAAGCGUGGGGAGCAAAC